UGGAAGCGUCUGGAAAGGCGCGCGAUACAGGGUGACAGCCCCGUACACAAAAAUGCACAUGCUGUGAGCUCGAUGAGUAGGGCGGGACACGUGGUAUCCUGUCUGAAUAUGGGGGGACCAUCCUCCAAGGCUAAAUACUCCUGACUGACCGAUAGUGAACCAGUACCGUGAGGGAAAGGCGAAAAGAACCCCGGCGAGGGGAGUGAAAAAGAACCUGAAACCGUGUACGUACAAGCAGUGGGAGCCUCUUAAUGGGGUGACUGCGUACCUUUUGUAUAAUGGGUCAGCGACUUAUAUUCUGUAGCAAGGUUAACCGAAUAGGGGAGCCGAAGGGAAACCGAGUCUUAACUGGGCGUUAAGUUGCAGGGUAUAGACCCGAAACCCGGUGAUCUAGCCAUGGGCAGGUUGAAGGUUGGGUAACACUAACUGGAGGACCGAACCGACUAAUGUUGAAAAAUUAGCGGAUGACUUGUGGCUGGGGGUGAAAGGCCAAUCAAACCGGGAGAUAGCUGGUUCUCCCCGAAAGCUAUUUAGGUAGCGCCUCGUGAAUUCAUCUCCGGGGGUAGAGCACUGUUUCGGCAAGGGGGUCAUCCCGACUUACCAACCCGAUGCAAACUGCGAAUACCGGAGAAUGUUAUCACGGGAGACACACGGCGGGUGCUAACGUCCGUCGUGAAGAGGGAAACAACCCAGACCGCCAGCUAAGGUCCCAAAGUCAUGGUUAAGUGGGAAACGAUGUGGGAAGGCCCAGACAGCCAGGAUGUUGGCUUAGAAGCAGCCAUCAUUU
This 787-nucleotide ribosomal RNA is filed under the name Escherichia coli. Its description in RNAcentral is "partial 23S ribosomal RNA". It matches the Rfam family "Bacterial large subunit ribosomal RNA", at positions 333 to 1124 of the family's 2925-position model. Lineage: Bacteria; Pseudomonadati; Pseudomonadota; Gammaproteobacteria; Enterobacterales; Enterobacteriaceae. The record is from RNAcentral.